This 250-nucleotide ribosomal RNA is filed under the name uncultured bacterium. RNAcentral's name for it is "partial 16S ribosomal RNA". It matches the Rfam family "Bacterial small subunit ribosomal RNA", at positions 524 to 773 of the family's 1533-position model. The record is from RNAcentral.
UACGUAGGUGGCAAGCGUUGUCCGGAAUUAUUGGGCGUAAAGGGCGUGUAGGCGGUGUUUUAAGUCAGGCGUGAAAUCUCUGGGCUUAACCCAGAAAUUGCGUUUGAAACUGGAAUACUUGAGGACCGGAGAGGGCAGUGGAAUUCCCAGUGUAGCGGUGAAAUGCGUAGAUAUUAGGAGGAACACCAGUGGCGAAGGCGACUUUCUGGACUGUAACUGACACUGAGGCUCGAAAGCUAGGGUAGCAAAC